This 1163-nucleotide long non-coding RNA is filed under the name Malus domestica (apple). Its description in RNAcentral is "long non-coding RNA (MDOM_LNC018712)". Lineage: Eukaryota; Viridiplantae; Streptophyta; Magnoliopsida; Rosales; Rosaceae. The record is from RNAcentral.
GCUAAAUAAAAUGAAAAUCCAAUUCUCAUUUAAAGAGACAAAACAAUUUUGUUCUCAACCUAAUUUGGGCCAAAAUGCAAUUACCACAACUUUUGGGCUAUAUUGCAAAAACACAAACUUUUGGGGUCACUUUGUAAAAACACAAAAGUCCACUACUUCAUGUAAUUACAACUAGAACCCAAAAAAAUUUCAAUAAAUUCAAAACUUCAUUAAAGGAGCAAAACAAUUUGUCCUUUAGCGUUUUUAGGCCUUAACGUCAAAACGUAAACUUUCGGGUCAAAAUACAAAUACAUAAAAGUAUCAAAACUUUAUGUAAUUGUAUAAAAGCCCCAAAAAUACCCUAUUUUAAUAGGGUGGCCGGUUUUAGGGAGAAAAAUGAGUGGAGAUAAGUCCACAAAAAUUUGGAAAUUUUUCAACUAAGUCAUAAAGCCAUGCAAGUGGAAAUAGGUUGAUGUGAAUAAAAGAGAAGUCCUUCUUACACACCCAUCACCAUUUCUAUCACCUUUCAAAAAAUAAUAAAUGUUUUGAUGAUAGAUAAGUCACACCCACCAACACAAAACAAAGACUUUAUGAAAUAAAUCAAAACAUCAAACCUUUUUGUUCUUGGCAAGAACAUCAAGAACAAUGAAGAACAUCCAUGAAAACCCAUAAGAGCUCCAUGAAUGUUUUCAAGCAAUAAAACUCAAAUUUUCACCAUUCAAAAUGGGGCUAACAUCCUAGGGUACUUAGGGGUUCCAAAGUCACUUUAAAACACUUUUAACAAGUCAAACAAGAACCCAAAAAAUCACCCUUUGGAUUUGGCCGAAAAUCCCCAAAAACUUGGCACCAAAUUUUAGCUCUAAUAUUCAUGCUCAUAUGAACUACAUCUACAACAUUUGAGAUGGCAAAUUUUCUAACAAAAUUUACAUUCAAAGAAACAAGAAUAAAGCUUGUAACAUAUUACAACUUUUAAAUCAAAACUAUGAAAUACAAAACCCAAAAGGAUUCACCAACUACUAGACCUAGGCUCUGAUACCACUUGAAGGAUGAUUUUGUGAAAACAUGUUCAUUUAAGCAACAUCUAUAGCAUGCUAUUAACAAUUAAAAGGUGGAAUCAUGCUUGCAUGCACUUAAAAACAAAACAUUAACCAUGAAAUUCAAAGCCUAGUAGAUUGGUGAACCAA